GAUGAACGCUGGCGGCGUGCCUAAUACAUGCAAGUCGAGCGAACAGACGAGGAGCUUGCUCCUCUGACGUUAGCGGCGGACGGGUGAGUAGCACGUGGAUAACCUACCUAUAAGACUGGGAUAACUUCGGGAAACCGGAGCUAAUACCGGAUAAUAUAUUGAACCGCAUGGUUCAAUAGUGAAAGACGGUUUUGCUGUCACUUAUAGAUGGAUCCGCGCCGCAUUAGCUAGUUGGUAAGGUAACGGCUUACCAAGGCGACGAUGCGUAGCCGACCGGAGGGGGUGAUCGGCCACACUGGAACUGAGACACGGUCCAGACUCCUACGGGAGGCAGCAGUAGGGAAUCUUCCGCAAUGGGCGAAAGCCUGACGGAGCAACGCCGCGUGAGUGAUGAAGGUCUUCGGAUCGUAAAACUCUGUUAUUAGGGAAGAACAAAUGUGUAAGUAACUAUGCACGUCUUGACGGUACCUAAUCAGAAAGCCACGGCUAACUACGUG
RNAcentral lists this ribosomal RNA (497 nucleotides) under uncultured bacterium. RNAcentral's name for it is "partial 16S ribosomal RNA". It matches the Rfam family "Bacterial small subunit ribosomal RNA", at positions 28 to 507 of the family's 1533-position model. The record is from RNAcentral.